AACGUAGGAGACAAACGUUAUCCGGAAUUACUGGGCGUAAAGGGCGUGUAGGCGGUUAGUUAAGUCUGGCGUGAAAGCUCUCGGCUAAACCGGGAGAGGUCGUUGGAUACUGGCAAACUAGAGGACGGUAGAGGCGUGUGGAAUUCCGGGUGUAGUGGUGAAAUGCGUAGAGAUCCGGAGGAACACCAGUGGCGAAGGCGACACGCUGGGCCGUACCUGACGCUAAAGCGCGACAGCAUGGGGAGCAAACGGG
RNAcentral lists this ribosomal RNA (253 nucleotides) under uncultured bacterium. RNAcentral describes it as "partial 16S ribosomal RNA". It matches the Rfam family "Bacterial small subunit ribosomal RNA", at positions 524 to 776 of the family's 1533-position model. The record is from RNAcentral.